GAUGAACGCUGGCGGCGUGCUUAACACAUGCAAGUCGAACGAAGCACUUUAUUUGAUUUCCUUCGGGACUGAUUAUUUUGUGACUGAGUGGCGGACGGGUGAGUAACGCGUGGGUAACCUGCCUUGUACAGGGGGAUAACAGUUGGAAACGGCUGCUAAUACCGCAUAAGCGCACGGCAUCGCAUGAUGCGGUGUGAAAAACUCCGGUGGUAUAAGAUGGACCCGCGUUGGAUUAGCUAGUUGGUGAGGUAACGGCCCACCAAGGCGACGAUCCAUAGCCGACCUGAGAGGGUGACCGGCCACAUUGGGACUGAGACACGGCCCAAACUCCUACGGGAGGCAGCAGUGGGGAAUAUUGCACAAUGGGCGAAAGCCUGAUGCAGCGACGCCGCGUGAGCGAAGAAGUAUUUCGGUAUGUAAAGCUCUAUCAGCAGGGAAGAUAAUGACG
RNAcentral lists this ribosomal RNA (448 nucleotides) under uncultured bacterium. Its description in RNAcentral is "bacterial SSU rRNA". It matches the Rfam family "Bacterial small subunit ribosomal RNA", at positions 28 to 456 of the family's 1533-position model. The record is from RNAcentral.